Molecule: signal recognition particle RNA, 148 nt
Filed under: Chlorocebus sabaeus (green monkey)
Lineage: Eukaryota; Metazoa; Chordata; Mammalia; Primates; Cercopithecidae
Description: Metazoan signal recognition particle RNA
Rfam family: Metazoan signal recognition particle RNA
About the family: The signal recognition particle (SRP) is a universally conserved ribonucleoprotein. It is involved in the co-translational targeting of proteins to membranes.
Source: Rfam by way of RNAcentral
GCCGGGCGUGGUGACGGGCGCCUGUAGUCCCAGCUACNCGGGAGGCUGAGGCAGGAGAAUGGCGUGAACCCAGGAGGCCUAGAUUGCAGUGAGCCGAGAUGGUGCCACUGCAUUCCAGCCUGGGCAACAGAGCAAGACUCUGUCUCAA